Molecule: ribosomal RNA, 301 nt
Filed under: uncultured bacterium
Lineage: Bacteria
Description: partial 16S ribosomal RNA
Rfam family: Bacterial small subunit ribosomal RNA
Source: RNAcentral
CAGCCGCCGCGGUAAUACAGAGGGUGCAAGCGUUAAUCGGAUUUACUGGGCGUAAAGGGCGCGUAGGUGGUUAUGUAAGUGAGAUGUGAAAUCCCCGGGCUCAACCUGGGAACUGCAUCUUAUACUGCGUAGCUGGAGUGCAGUAGAGGGUAGUGGAAUUUCCGGUGUAGCGGUGAAAUGCGUAGAUAUCGGAAGGAACACCAGUGGCGGAGGCGGCUACCUGGACUGACACUGACACUGAGGCGCGAAAGCGUGGGGAGCAAACAGGAUUAGAGACCCCAGUAGUCCUGUCUCUUAUACC